UGAACGCUGGCGGCGUGCUUAACACAUGCAAGUCGUACGAGAACGCUUCAGCUUGCUGAAGCAAGUAAAGUGGCGCACGGGUGAGUAAUGCGUGGGUAAUCUACCUUCGAAUCGGGGAUAACUUCGCGAAAGCGGGGCUAAUACCGGAUAACAUCUAUUUGAUUCUGGUCUUUAAGAUCAAAGGUGGCCUCUACAUGUAAGCUACCGUUCGGGGAUGAGCCCGCGUACCAUUAGCUUGUUGGUAGGGUAACGGCCUACCAAGGCUGCGAUGGUUAGCUGGUCUGAGAGGAUGAUCAGCCACACUGGAACUGACACACGGUCCAGACUCCUACGGGAGGCAGCAGUGAGGAAUUUUGCGCAAUGGGGGAAACCCUGACGCAGCAACGCCGCGUGAGUGAUGAAGGCCUUCGGGUCGUAAAGCUCUGUCAAGUGGGAAGAAACUGGUUUAUGCCAAUACCAUAGAUCACUGACGGUACCACUGAAGGAAGCACCGGCUAACUCC
Molecule: ribosomal RNA, 502 nt
Filed under: uncultured bacterium
Lineage: Bacteria
Description: bacterial SSU rRNA
Rfam family: Bacterial small subunit ribosomal RNA
Source: RNAcentral